AGUGAACGCUGGCGGUAGGCCUAACACAUGCAAGUCGAACGGCAGCACAGUAAGAGCUUGCUCUUACGGGUGGCGAGUGGCGGACGGGUGAGGAAUACAUCGGAAUCUACUUUUUCGUGGGGGAUAACGUAGGGAAACUUACGCUAAUACCGCAUACGACCUACGGGUGAAAGCAGGGGAACUUCGGACCUUGCGCGAUUGAAUGAGCCGAUGUCGGAUUAGCUAGUUGGCGGGGUAAAGGCCCACCAAGGCGACGAUCCGUAGCUGGUCUGAGAGGAUGAUCAGCCACACUGGAACUGAGACAGGGUCCAGACUCCUACGGGAGGCAGCAGUGGGGAAUAUUGGACAAUGGGCGCAAGCCUGAUCCAGCCAUACCGCGUGGGUGAAGAAGGCCUUCGGGUUGUAAAGCCCUUUUGUUGGGAAAGAAAAGCAGCAGGUUAAUACCCCGCUGUUCUGACGGUACCCAAAGAAUAAGCACCGGCUAACUUCGUG
This 492-nucleotide ribosomal RNA is filed under the name uncultured bacterium. Its description in RNAcentral is "partial 16S ribosomal RNA". It matches the Rfam family "Bacterial small subunit ribosomal RNA", at positions 29 to 507 of the family's 1533-position model. The record is from RNAcentral.